GAUGAACGCUGGCGGCGUGCCUAAUACAUGCAAGUCGAGCGAACAGACGAGGAGCUUGCUCCUCUGACGUUAGCGGCGGACGGGUGAGUAACACGUGGAUAACCUACCUAUAAGACUGGGAUAACUUCGGGAAACCGGAGCUAAUACCGGAUAAUAUAUUGAACCGCAUGGUUCAAUAGUGAAAGACGGUUUUGCUGUCACUUAUAGAUGGAUCCGCGCCGCAUUAGCUAGUUGUAAGGUAACGGCUUACCAAGGCAACGAUGCGUAGCCGACCUGAGAGGGUGAUCGGCCACACUGGAACUGAGACACGGUCCAGACUCCUACGGGAGGCAGCAGUAGGGAAUCUUCCGCAAUGGGCGAAAGCCUGACGGAGCAACGCCGCGUGAGUGAUGAAGGUCUUCGGAUCGUAAAACUCUGUUAUUAGGGAAGAACAAAUGUGUAAGUAACUAUGCACGUCUUGACGGUACCUAAUCAGAAAGCCACGGCUAACUACGUG
Molecule: ribosomal RNA, 496 nt
Filed under: uncultured bacterium
Lineage: Bacteria
Description: partial 16S ribosomal RNA
Rfam family: Bacterial small subunit ribosomal RNA
Source: RNAcentral